CAGCCGCCGCGGUAAUACCGGCGGCCCGAGUGGCGGUCACUAUUAUUGGGCUUAAAGCGUCCGUAGCCGGGUUGGGAAGUCCUCCGGGAAAUCUGGCCGCUUAACGGUCAGAAUGCCGGAGGAUACUCCCAGCCUAGGGAGCGGGAGAGGCCGAGGGUAUUCCCGGAGUAGGGGUGAAAUACUAUAAUCCCGGGAGGGCCACCUGUGGCGAAGGCGCUCGGCUGGAACGCGUCCGACGGUGAGGGACGAAGGCCAGGGGAGCAAACCGGAUUAGAUACCCGGGUAGUCCUGGCUGUAAACGAUGCGGACUUUGUGUCGGACAAGCUAUGAGCUUGUCCGGUGCCGGAGGGAAACCGUUAAGUCCGCCGCCUGGGGAGUACGGCCGCAAGGCUGAAACUUAAAGGAAUUGGCGGG
RNAcentral lists this ribosomal RNA (414 nucleotides) under uncultured microorganism. Its description in RNAcentral is "bacterial SSU rRNA". It matches the Rfam family "Archaeal small subunit ribosomal RNA", at positions 459 to 872 of the family's 1478-position model. The record is from RNAcentral.